UACGUAGGGGCCGUGCGUUGUCCGGAGUUAUUGGGCGUAAAGCGCGCGCAGGCGGCCUCGCGCGCCCGACGUGAAAGCCCCCGGCUUAACCGGGGAGGGUCGUUGGGGACGGCGGGGCUUGAGGGCGGGAGAGGUCGGUGGAAUUCCCGGUGUAGUGGUGAAAUGCGUAGAGAUCGGGAGGAACACCUGUGGCGAAGGCGGCCGACUGGGCCGACCCUGACGCUGAGGCGCGAAGGCGUGGGGAGCGAACGGG
RNAcentral lists this ribosomal RNA (253 nucleotides) under uncultured bacterium. RNAcentral describes it as "partial 16S ribosomal RNA". It matches the Rfam family "Bacterial small subunit ribosomal RNA", at positions 524 to 776 of the family's 1533-position model. The record is from RNAcentral.